UCCGGUUUAUCACCAGCAGUCUACCUAGAGUUCCCACCAUUAUGUGCUGGCAACUAGGUACAGGGGUUGCGCUCGUUACGGGACUUAACCCAACAUCUCACGACACGAGCUGACGACAGCCAUGCAGCACCUGUCUUAGCUUGCCCGAAGGCACUCCCGCAUCUCUGCAGGAUUGGCUAGAUGUCAAGGGUAGGUAAGGUUCUUCGCGUUGCAUCGAAUUAAACCACAUGCUCCACCGCUUGUGCGGGCCCCCGUCAAUUCCUUUGAGUUUCAGCCUUGCGGCCGUACUCCCCAGGCGGGGCACUUAAUGCGUUAGCUACGGCACAGGCGGGAUUAAUACCGCCCACACCUAGUGCCCAUCGUUUAGGGCGUGGACUAC
This 379-nucleotide unclassified non-coding RNA is filed under the name uncultured bacterium. Its description in RNAcentral is "contains 16S-23S intergenic spacer region". The record is from RNAcentral.